GAUGAACGCUGGCGGCGUGCCUAAUACAUGCCAGUCGAGCGAACGGACGAGAAGCUUGCUUCUCUGAUGUUAGCGGCGGACGGGUGAGUAACACGUGGAUAACCUACCUAUAAGACUGGGAUAACUUCGGGAAACCGGAGCUAAUACCGGAUGAUAUUUUGAACCGCAUGGUUCAAAAGUGAAAGACGGUCUUGCUGUCACUUAUAGAUGGAUCCGCGCUGCAUUAGCUAGUUGGUAAGGUAACGGCUUACCAAGGCAACGAUGCAUAGCCGACCUGAGAGGGUGAUCGGCCACACUGGAACUGAGACACGGUCCAGACUCCUACGGGAGGCAGCAGUAGGGAAUCUUCCGCAAUGGGCGAAAGCCUGACGGAGCAACGCCGCGUGAGUGACGAAGGUCUUCGGAUCGUAAAACUCUGUUAUUAGGGAAGAACAUAUGUGUAAGUAACUGUGCACAUCUUGACGGUACCUAAUCAGAAAGCCACGGCUAACUACGUG
Molecule: ribosomal RNA, 497 nt
Filed under: uncultured bacterium
Lineage: Bacteria
Description: partial 16S ribosomal RNA
Rfam family: Bacterial small subunit ribosomal RNA
Source: RNAcentral